Molecule: ribosomal RNA, 130 nt
Filed under: uncultured eukaryote
Lineage: Eukaryota
Description: partial 18S ribosomal RNA
Source: RNAcentral
UGGUGGAGUUAUUUGUCUGGUUAAUUCCGUUAAUGAACAAGAAUACUGCAUGCUAAAUAGUCUGGCAAGUGUUUUACACUGGUGGUGGAUUCAUAGAGGGAUGUUCAUUUCAGCUUAAUGUAGGAAGAUG